RNAcentral lists this long non-coding RNA (233 nucleotides) under Homo sapiens (human). RNAcentral describes it as "non-protein coding lnc-MICB-4:1". Lineage: Eukaryota; Metazoa; Chordata; Mammalia; Primates; Hominidae. The record is from RNAcentral.
CCUGAGGGCAACCACACCUUGCCAUGUAGAGCACCUGGCUUCUCACUUGCCAACAUCACUCUGACCUGGCUGCAGGAAGGGGAGGAGCCAACUCUGGACUCAAGACUCAAGGGGACCAGACCCAGGAAGAUGAGACAUAUCAGGGCUGGGCAGCUGUGGGGGGCCCUCCCAGAGAAGGCCUGAGAUACACCUGCCUGCAGGUGCUCCUGGGCCUGGAGAAGCCCCUCAGUGUG